Molecule: ribosomal RNA, 274 nt
Filed under: uncultured bacterium
Lineage: Bacteria
Description: partial 16S ribosomal RNA
Rfam family: Bacterial small subunit ribosomal RNA
Source: RNAcentral
UACGUAGGGUCCGAGCGUUGUCCGGAAUUAUUGGGCGUAAAGAGCUCGUAGGCGGUUUUGUCGCGUCUGCUGUGAAAAUCCCCGAGGCUCAAACCCUCGGGGCCUGCAGUGGGGUACGGGGGCAGACUGGAGUGCGGGUAGGGGGGAGAAAUGGAAAUUCCUGGUGUAGCGGUGGAAUGCGCAGAUAUCAGGAGGAACACCGAUGGCGAAGGCAGUUCUCUGGGGACGUAAACUGACGCUGAGGAGCGAAAAGCGUGGGGGGGAGCGAAACAGG